Molecule: non-coding RNA, 179 nt
Filed under: Alphaproteobacteria bacterium
Lineage: Bacteria; Pseudomonadati; Pseudomonadota; Alphaproteobacteria
Also listed under: 1 other name
Description: 6S RNA
Rfam family: 6S / SsrS RNA
About the family: E. coli 6S RNA was the first non coding RNA to be sequenced, but its function was unknown until recently. It consists of 184 nucleotides that fold into an extended hairpin structure with a large single-stranded internal bulge.
Source: RNAcentral
CAUCCCCUGGGUUGUUAGCCAGUUGAAAUGCUCUCGACCCUUUAUGUAACCACCAGGGGGUCUUUUUUCGACACUGUUGCGCGUGCCUGCUACGGCGGGAUGCCUGAUGUUCGUUAGGGACCACCGCCUUGAGCCAAAGGGUUCAAGGACUUUUCCGACAGCGGCAACUCGGGGGACUA